Molecule: non-coding RNA, 109 nt
Organism: Erinaceus europaeus (western European hedgehog)
Lineage: Eukaryota; Metazoa; Chordata; Mammalia; Eulipotyphla; Erinaceidae
Source: Rfam
GUGCUUGCUUCAAUGGCACAUAUACUAAAAUUGGAACAAUACUGAAAAGAUUAGCAUGGCCUUUGCAAAAUAUGUGGGCACUAGACAAGAAUAGUAGAACCACUCAUGG